CCCAGAUUGUUUUAUUUGAGCCACAGGAUGCUUUUGUACAAUUCACACAUGCUUUCCACAUUGUUCUGGAACAUCUGAGAAAGACACAUCAUUGAAACAACUUCCAUCCAUUGCAUGGGUAGAAAUUACUCUGGCUGCUAUGAAGAGAAAGAAUAUUCACUGAAAAUAUUUUGGAUGUCACUGGAUGCCCCUGUUGGAUGCUGCCCUGUGGAAGGAGCACUGUGUUUCAAAGCUGGGUGUAGUUGUAGAUGGUAAUUAAAGGCACAAAAGAGAUAAAGCUCUGAAGGACAAAUGAAUUGAAGAAGAUGCAGUGAUUAUGACAAAAGUACUGGAUGCCCAAUUCUAUGCUUCAACAAGUUCACAAUUCUACUUCUCAAGAUGAUAAUAGAGGGCAAUUUAAUUAAAAGAUAAUGGAAUAAGAAUGCUCCGGUAUCUUUAUAUGCCUUAAGAGCAUACAUUUUCCCCACAUAAAAGUCAACCCAGGAAUACUGCUUACCCCAAUUGAAGUAGUCUAUAAAUAUCACACAUUUUGGAUAAAGUAUAUUGAAACAAGAAUGGUAG
This 561-nucleotide long non-coding RNA is filed under the name Homo sapiens (human). Its description in RNAcentral is "HSALNT0318600". Lineage: Eukaryota; Metazoa; Chordata; Mammalia; Primates; Hominidae. The record is from RNAcentral.